ACGGGAGGCAGCAGUGGGGGAUAUUACACAAUGGGGGAAACCCUGAUGCAGCGACGCCGCGUGAGUGAUGAAGUAUUUCGGUAUGUAAAGCUCUAUCAGCAGGGAAGAAAAUGACGGUACCUGACUAAGAAGCACCGGCUAAAUACGUGCCAGCAGCCGCGGUAAUACGUAUGGUGCAAGCGUUAUCCGGAUUUACUGGGUGUAAAGGGAGCGUAGACGGCAUAGCAAGCCAGAUGUGAAAGGUGGGGGCUCAACCCCCAAGCUGCAUUUGGAACUGUUAAGCUAGAGUAUCGGGGAGGUAAGUGGAAUUCCUAGUGUAGCGGUGAAAUGCGUAGAUAUUAGGAGGAACACCAGUGGCGAAGGCGGCUUACUGGACGAUAACUGACGUUGAGGCUCGAAAGCGUGGGGAGCAAACAGGAUUAGAUACCCUGGUA
RNAcentral lists this ribosomal RNA (434 nucleotides) under uncultured Ruminococcus sp. RNAcentral's name for it is "partial 16S ribosomal RNA". It matches the Rfam family "Bacterial small subunit ribosomal RNA", at positions 341 to 792 of the family's 1533-position model. The record is from RNAcentral. Lineage: Bacteria; Bacillati; Bacillota; Clostridia; Eubacteriales; Oscillospiraceae.